AAGUGAGAAUGCCGGUGUGAGUAGCGAAAGACGGGUGAGAAUCCCGUCCACCGAUUGACUAAGGUUUCCAGAGGAAGGCGCGUCCGCUCUGGGUUAGUCGGGUCCUAAGCUGAGGCCGACAGGCGUAGGCGAUGGAUAACAGGUUGAUAUUCCUGUACCACCAUGAUUCGUUUUAAGCGAUGGGGGGACGCAGUAGGAUAGGCGAAG
RNAcentral lists this ribosomal RNA (207 nucleotides) under Staphylococcus chromogenes. RNAcentral describes it as "partial 23S ribosomal RNA". It matches the Rfam family "Bacterial large subunit ribosomal RNA", at positions 1286 to 1491 of the family's 2925-position model. Lineage: Bacteria; Bacillati; Bacillota; Bacilli; Caryophanales; Staphylococcaceae. The record is from RNAcentral.